RNAcentral lists this ribosomal RNA (774 nucleotides) under uncultured Neocallimastigales. RNAcentral describes it as "partial large subunit ribosomal RNA". It matches the Rfam family "Eukaryotic large subunit ribosomal RNA", at positions 22 to 637 of the family's 3401-position model. The record is from RNAcentral. Lineage: Eukaryota; Fungi; Neocallimastigomycota; Neocallimastigomycetes; Neocallimastigales.
CUAUACAUGACUCUGCGCAUAUCAAUAAGCGGAGGAAAAGAAACUAACAAGGAUUCCCCUAGUAACGGCGAGUGAAGCGGGAAGAGCUCAAACUUGAAAUCUUAAAGGGUUUCCCUUUACGAAUUGUAGUUUAAAGAAGUGUUUUCUGUUGAGGUUUUGGUAAAAGUUCUUUGGAAUAGGACAUCAUAGAGGGUGAGAAUCCCGUAUUUGACCUUUACUUUCAACUUUGUGAUACACUUUCAAAGAGUCGGAUUGUUUGGGAAUGCAGUCCAAAAUGGGUGGUAAAUUUCAUCUAAAGCUAAAUAUUGGCGAGAGACCGAUAGCGAACAAGUACCGUGAGGGAAAGAUGAAAAGAACUUUGAAAAGAGAGUUAAACAGUACGUGAAAUUGUCAAAAGGGAAGCGUUUGACACCAGUGUUGUUUUUCUGAAAAUCAAUUAAAGAACUGUUUAUGCUAAGUUGUUUAGACUUUAUCAGCUAACUGUUUAGUUUUGAGCUUUUCUUUAAUGCACUUUUCAGUUAACAAGUCAACAUCAAUUUCUUUUGCUGUAAAAAAGCUUGAGGAAGGUGGCUUGAGAUUCGUCUUAAGUGUUUAUAGCCUCUUGCCUAUGCAGUCGGAGAGAUUGAGGUCUGCUGCGUAGAUCCUUCGGGGCUAAAUGCAUUUGUGCUAAGUUAUAGCAUUUUAUAGACAACUUGUUGACUAUGAUUUGUCUUGUAGCUUACUCGCUUAUGUUGUUUUACCUACGCUUAGGAUGUUGACAGCAGUAUAGACUGU